CAGGAGCAGGUAUGCUGACCCUUUUGGUGUUGGAGGUUCAGACUUGGACCCCUUUGCCCCUCCCGGACAUGGGAAUUUAUUUGAGCCUUUCCACAGAGACCCACUGAGGCCAUUCCCAGAUCCAGGACAAGGAAUUCCUGGGGGUCUUCCGAGAGGAGCAGUCCCACCUGGGGCAAGGUUUGAUCCUUUUGGACCUCCUGACGUAGGCCCUCGUCCAUCCAGGCCCCGUUUUCCCCCUGAUGCUGACCAUCUGCCUCCCCCAGGCUACGAUGAUAUGUUCAUGUAACCUAAGUCAACUAUUAUAUACUUGUAUUAUAACAUUUUACUCUAACUUAUAUUGUAAUGAAAUGUUUUGUAUCAAGAAAUAUGUUUCUUGUUAAAA
Homalodisca vitripennis (glassy-winged sharpshooter) is the source of this 382-nucleotide long non-coding RNA. RefSeq lists it as uncharacterized. NCBI's taxonomy places the organism in Eukaryota, Metazoa, Arthropoda, Insecta, Hemiptera, Cicadellidae. The record is from RefSeq and is a predicted model, not a curated record. The transcript has 2 exons.